This is a long non-coding RNA of Chiroxiphia lanceolata (lance-tailed manakin), 980 nucleotides long. RefSeq lists it as uncharacterized. Lineage: Eukaryota; Metazoa; Chordata; Aves; Passeriformes; Pipridae. The transcript is spliced from 3 exons. The record is from RefSeq and is a predicted model, not a curated record.
CAGGUAAGGGGAGCAGGGGUGGUGGUGGCACAGCCCCGAGCGCCCCGAAACUGCUCACCCCUUCCCGGAGCGGUGUUGGAGUGACUUCAGGUUUCGGUUAAAAAAAAAUUAAAAAAUAAAGAAAAAAAAAGAGAUUUUUUCCCCCCAAGUAUGAACAAGCCAGAAAAAUUAAAAUACUCUCGAAAUGAAAUAAGCCUGCUGGUGCGUGAGGUGGUCUGAGUAAAAAGAGAAGAGGAGGGAAAAAAAAAAAAAGGGAGAAAAUGGAAUUAAAUUUCGAACCUACCUGCGAAGUCUUGUUUGUAGUUUUGGUCAGAAAUGGUGACAAGAAAAAGCAUGAAGAAGCCGCGAAGUGGAGGAGAAAAGGUGAAGGGAGAUGCAGCUCCUGGAGAAAUUGUAAAAAGCCUUGCAAAGAGUUGUCGGAAGGACCGUUAUUCCUGCUGGGCAGGUUAGGACUGAUCUCUUUCUGCCACUCCAGGAAACACAAACCUGGGGACGGACUGACGUGUUACGCCUCUUCUAAUGACAUUUUUUUCUUUUUCUUUUCUGUACGAGCGAGAGGAGAGACCCUGCAACACACGCCACCUAUCUUUGUGGGGAGGGAUAAUUGGAGAGCACCAAACAUAUGGAUCAGGGGUGAGAUGGGCUCUUUUCCUGGCUCUGCUCUUCCUUGGAAGUAGCUGAAUGAGCAGAGAGACAGCGUGGACAAGUAACGCGUGGGACUGAACUUCAGUGAGGUUACAAGUUUUUCACCUUUUUCAAUGGGAGAACAGCAUCCACAGGACCCCAAACCUCUUCUCACACCGGGCAGAGAGCAGUGAGCAGCGAACAUCCUCCAUGUACUGUCCCGCACCGUGAGCUGGAGGUGGUUUUCCCUUCUCUUCUGGGAUCAGUGCUGAAGUUCGGCCACAUUCUUUGGCUCAGUUGGCAGUGAUUAAAAUUCACGGCUCACUUUUGUUUAUAGUUGGUUGUUUACUUUGUUG